This 738-nucleotide ribosomal RNA is filed under the name Triticum aestivum (bread wheat). Its description in RNAcentral is "partial small subunit ribosomal RNA". The record is from RNAcentral. Lineage: Eukaryota; Viridiplantae; Streptophyta; Magnoliopsida; Poales; Poaceae.
AUGAGAGAAGCUGCCCUUGAGCGAUCAGCCAGUCUAAAGUCUGAUUGUUUCACCAUCCGGUGUGAUAUUGUGGUGUGCAAGGACAACACGCCAGAUGCCAUUGGCUCCGGCACCGGUACCGAGGUUCUCCUGCCUGACAUGCACCAACAUUUUAGCGAUCUCCUUCGGAAUAAGGUGGGUGCUGAUGUGACAUUCGAGGUCGGCGGCAAGACGUUCGCUGCACACCGGUGUGUGCUCGCUGCCAGGUCUGAAGUGUUCAUGGCGCACCUCUUUGGCACCGCUACGUCCAAUGUCAUACACAUCACAAAUAUGGAAACUAAAGUGUUUAGGGCUUUGCUUUGCUUCAUCUACACAGACUCUUCUCCUGAGAUGGAGGACAUCAUGGAGGAGGAUGAAAUGCCACGAGUUGUGGAACAAGGACAAGUAGAGAAAGUUGUGGACAAGAAAAUGUCAGAAGUUGCGGAGCCAACACAAGAAGAGGCGGUAGAGGAUGAAAUGCUUCUGCAAUGGCUGCAAGACUUGUUUGUGGCGGCAGACAGAUACAAUCUCCAGCGGCUCAAGUUCAUAUGUGAAAAGCAGUUGUGUGAGCAUGUAGGUGUGAGCUCGGUGGUGUCCACUCUUGCUCUAGCCGAGCAGCACCACCGCCAUGGAUUGAAGGAGGCAUGCUUGAAGUUUAUCCAAGUCCUAUCUCCCUCGUGUUUGCAGACACUAAUGGCUACUGAUGGCCGGGGCAUAUAG